ACGGGUGCGGAACACGUACGCAACCUUCCUUCAAAUGAGGAAUAGCCUUUCGAAAGAGAGAUUAAUACCUCGUAACAUUUUCUGGUGGCAUCACUGGAUUAUUAUAGCUCCGGCGUUUGAAGAUGGGCGUGCGCCUGAUUAGGUAGUUGGCGGAGUAACAGCCCACCAAGCCUACGAUCAGUAACUGGUGUGAGAGCACGACCAGUCACACGGGCACUGAGACACGGGCCCGACUCCUACGGGAGGCAGCAGUAAGGAAUAUUGGUCAAUGGACGCAAGUCUGAACCAGCCAUGCCGCGUGGAGGAUGAAGGUCCUCUGGAUUGUAAACUUCUUUUAUCGGAGAAGAAACCCCGGAAUUCUUUCUGGGUUGACGGUACCCGAUGAAUAAGCACCGGCUAACUCCGUGCCAGCAGCCGCGGUAAUACGGAGGGUGCAAGCGUUAUCCGGAUUCACUGGGUUUAAAGGGAGCGUAGGUGGGGUGGUAAGUCAGUGGUGAAAUCUCCGGGCUUAACUCGGAAACUGCCGUUGAUACUAUCAUUCUUGAAUAUUGUGGAGGUAAGCGGAAUAUGUCAUGUAGCGGU
RNAcentral lists this ribosomal RNA (582 nucleotides) under Niastella sp. StTD351. RNAcentral describes it as "bacterial SSU rRNA". It matches the Rfam family "Bacterial small subunit ribosomal RNA", at positions 102 to 682 of the family's 1533-position model. The record is from RNAcentral. Lineage: Bacteria; Pseudomonadati; Bacteroidota; Chitinophagia; Chitinophagales; Chitinophagaceae.